This 439-nucleotide ribosomal RNA is filed under the name uncultured bacterium. Its description in RNAcentral is "bacterial SSU rRNA". It matches the Rfam family "Bacterial small subunit ribosomal RNA", at positions 340 to 774 of the family's 1533-position model. The record is from RNAcentral.
UACGGAAGGCAGCAGUGGGGAAUAUUGCACAAUGGGCGCAAGCCUGAUGCAGCCAUGCCGCGUGUAUGAAGAAGGCCUUCGGGUUGUAAAGUACUUUCAGUCGUGAGGAAGGUGUUAAGGUUAAUAACCUUAGCAAUUGACGUUAGCGACAGAAGAAGCACCGGCUAACUCCGUGCCAGCAGCCGCGGUAAUACGGAGGGUGCGAGCGUUAAUCGGAAUUACUGGGCGUAAAGGGCACGCAGGCGGUUAAUUAAGUUGGAUGUGAAAUCCCCGGGCUUAACCUGGGAAUGGCAUUCAAGCUGGUUAGCUAGAGUCUUGUAGAGGGGGUAGAAUUCCAUGUGUAGCGGUGAAAUGCGUAGAGAUGUGGAGGAAUACCGGUGGCGAAGGCGGCCCCUGGACAAAGGCUGACGCUCAUGUGCGAAAGCGUGGGGAGCGAAAC